AGCGUCAUGCUUUAGGGAAAUCACAUGAAAUCUGAUUAUGAAUGUAUACAAUUUAUGAAAAAAAUCAACUAAGCACCAUUCUAAAACGAAUGUAUAAACUUCCCACUAUUGUGGCUCCAGUUACUAUGUCUAAUAACUUAGAGAACUAACUCCCAUUGAACCUAAGAGAUUGAACAUGCAUCAGGUUUGAGUUUCGAUAGGUCCACAAAGCGCAAUAGCAUCAAUCUCUGUUGGUUAAGAACACCUUGCUCACAUGAAAUAUUUUCAAGCAAUCAAAUCAGCUCACACUGCAUUCAGAUAACCUAAGAUCAUGAAUUAGGUGAUCAAUAAGUUCAAACAUUAAAAACAAUCCAAGUGAAGAACUGUAACGCAUAUUAUCUAAUCAAACAAUCCUAAAAUUCAUUCUCUUAGAUUCCUUUGAAACCCUAAAAUCUAACUAUAAUGCUACUCAACAUAACCAAAUAACACAAGAUCAAUGAUAGAAUAUGCAUAAUUGGAAUAAAGAGACAAAAACAAGGUUCAAAAAGAUUCUUUUGUCUCUUCACAACUUUAAAAGCUUAAAAGUCUGGACCUAAAAACGACUCAAAAUAGUAGAUAUAGGCCAAAAUACGUAAUCAUCAAAUUUUAGGACAAAUCAAACCGAAAAUAAGAAAAUCUAAAAAAAAAAAUUCUCGUAUUAAAUUGGCAAAUAGUCCAGUUUUCAUAACUUUCGAUCUAACCGAUAGAUCGACCUCCCCCGGUGGUAUUGGAAAGAGAAGUCAAUUCUCUAUCUUUUUCCAAACUGAGCUCAAUCUCAAUGUAGAAAAUCUUCCUUCAAUUUCUGACACAUUUUACAUCUUUUGUUUUUUGUUUUUUUGUAUCCAGUUCAAACUAUAUCGUUCUAAGUAGACUUUAAACCUGUAAAACUACCAAAUAACACCAAAAUAAUUCAAAACACAUACUUAACUUAAUAAAAUACUCAAAAUAUAGGAUAGAGGUAGUAACAACACUGAUAUAUCCUGUAUGUGUAAACAUAGUUUAUAAUUUUGGUUAACGCUAUACGUCGACUUAAUUAAGUUAUUUUAUCGAGUUGAACUAGUGUAUGGAAUUUUAAUACGAUAUAUAUUAUAUUAUAAAAAUAUAUGAUACUAGAUAAAAAUAUUAAAAAUGUUAAAAUUUUCUUAGGCCAUCCAAAAGUGUUCUACCGGCACUAUGUGUCGCGAGGAAAUCCCAAUCUUACUCUAUGUUUCAUUCUUAAAUAUACAUUAAAAUAAAAAUGACCCAAUAGUUCAUUAUAUUUUUUAUAUAUAAUAGAGUGAAAACGAGUUUACUAGAUUAAUUUGUUUAUUUUUUAUUCACCUCUCUAUUUUUCACUUUAAAAUAGAAUACUAUUGAAAUAUAACUCAAUUUUAUUAUAGAGUUAUUCUACUUUAGAGUGAAAAAGAGAGUGAACCAUUGGAGAUGGUCUAACAUCUCAUUUGGAUAUAUGUUUGUUUCUUAACUUUUAAAUAUUUUAUUUGUGUACAAAUCUAUUUAAAUAUAUUUAAAUAAUUGAGGAAGCACCUUAACGAUUUUUAUCUGAAAAAGGUACAAAAGAAAAAUUACUAAACAAGCACAAACCACUUAAGUAUAUAUCAUGAAUUAUUAAUUAACUUCCUAUUGUGAAAAAUACAAGUCUUGACAGUGUUUUAUGCAAACUACUCAAUCUUUAAGGAACUAAAAUACUAAUCUUUACGUACAAACAUAGUACGUAGUUUACUGAUUACCUUUUCUUUUAUUUAUUAGCUUGACAAAUUUUAUUUUUAUUAAUAAGAUAUCCUAAAUUAGAAAGUUGACCAUUUUUCUUAAAUACUUUUCCCAAUCUUAGUUUUGUUAAUAAAUUAAACUUUCCUAAAUAAUAAUUUGACCAUUCUGAUUUUCUUAAAAAGAUAUCCCAAAAUGAUAAACUUGACCAAUUUUUUGGAAAUAAUUUUAUUUUUGAACCUAUAAAAUAUGUUUUAACUAAUAUAAAAUUAAGAAUAUUAAAUUUUGUGAUUAUGUUAUGAAAUCUUACAAUAUUUUUGUAUCGAACUACAGUUUAGCUAAAUAUUUAUGUAAACUGAUAAUUUAAUUGAAAAUAAUUUUUGCAAACAAACAUUUAAGCAAAUAAUAAUUUUCGAAAAUUAAUAGCUAAAUUUAAAAAAAAAUUAUUUUUGCUAAAUUUGGCAAUAAAAUAAACUUCUGCUUAAAUUUGGUCAAAAAUGUAACUAAAUUAAUAUUAAUUUUCACAUAAACUUGUCAAAAUGAGACUAAGAUACUAAAGUAAUAAAAUAGGUUGACCAUAAAAGUCUUUAAAGAUAAUUAGGUAAUAAAAUAAAUCUAGUCUUAUAAAACUGUAAGUUAGUAAAUAUAUGUAUGUAUCAAACCUCUUUGGAAGAUCCAAAAGUUAAGAAGGUGUGUGAAUAUACAUACUACGUUCUAUCAUAUUGACAAAACAACAAUACAUCUAUUUAAUUGUCUCUGCUCUCUUAUUCACGCAGGGAGGAGGAAGAAAGAUGGUGUCGUGUCGGAGGUUUGCUCAGGUGUACUCGAGUGACGACGAAGAGGACUCUCUAGCGAAGACGAGGUCUCAGGGACAGAACUCAAGGAGACCUGAGGAAACAAUGGAGGGAAAAAUGAGGAAACGCAAGAAGGUGAUCCUGAACAAAGAGUCUGAUGGGGAAGAGGAGGAGACAGAGAGCAAGAGAAAGAAAGAUGACGAAGAAACGCCGCCGAAGGAAUUGAAGCCCGAUGACGCGAAACCGGUUGGUGAGCCGGUUAAAGUUACGGGUAAAGGAACCCAUUACGGGCAGUUCGAAUACGGCGGUAACAGAUACGAGCUGGAGGAUUCGGUGCUGUUGCAUCCAGAAGACAAUAGUCUUGAGCCUUAUGUUGCCAUUAUCAAGGAUAUUACCAAAAAACAAGAUGGAAGGAUGAUGAUUCUGGUACAAUGGUUUUAUCGUCAAGAAGAUGCAAAGAAAAAGGAUGGUGGAAACUGGGUAGUAAAUGAUACACGUGGACGUUUCUACAGUUUCCAUCGUGAUGAGGUCCCAGCAGAAUCAGUGAUGCAAAGAUGCGUGGUGAAUUUUGUUCCAGCAUAUAAGCAACUUCCGAGUGGCAGAGGUUUUAUCGUGCGAAAGGUGUAUGAUGCGGUUGAUAAGAAGCUGUGGAAGUUGACUGACAAGGAUUAUGAAGUUGCAAAACAACGUGAAAUUAACCUCUUUGUGGAUAAGUCAUUGGCGCGAUUGGGUGAUUUUCCUGACCUUGAAAUUGAAGAAGAUGUAGAGAAGGCUAAAAGAUUUUCCGGGAAAUUAAAAAGACUUCAUGUUGAUCUUAGAAAGGACAAAGAUGUGUUUCCUAUUUCAUCAGAGUAUCAUUCUAUCUUAGACAAGUUUGAUUCACUAACAGAUAAUUCUCAUCGUAACGAAUGUUUGGCGAAGCUUCUGGAAGCAGUCCAGAGCAUAUGCUUUAAUGCUGGUGAUGAAGCAAAUGUGAGUUCCAAAUAGUCUCUAUUUUCACGCACUCACCUUUCAUUAACCCUUUUGUUUAAACUGCUUGAUAGGAUGAGAGCUUUCUCUGGCCAGAUGCUGCUGUUUCUCCCGUGUGUGCCCUUGAGCUGGCUAUAAAUGUUUCUUAUGCAUCAGACUAUUCUAAAUACAAUCAAAGGAUAAGGACAUUAGCAUUCAAUCUGAAGAACACUGCACUGCUGGCUAAACGACUGCUCAGUGGCGAGUUAGAACCUGAAAAGAUUUCGAACAUGUCACCCACUGAGUUAAAGGUGGGUCUAACUAAUGAGGAAACAGAGAAGAAUGAGCCUGAUGAUGCGGAACGAAUGCAGGUUUUUUCAUUUAUGACAGCCAAAGUUUUAUCCAGUUUCUUGGAUUUGUGUUGGAGAAUGUCUUUGACCAUGCCAUGUGUUGGCUUUUCAUGCAGAUGACUGAUGUAAGAUGCUCGAGAUGCAGUCAUAUUAAAGUUGGCCUGAGACAUAUCGUUCAAGCUGGGCAUCGAGAUCGCUAUCAGGUUCUUUUGCUUUUCAAUAUUAAGUCAUCUAUUCUCGGCACGAUCUUAUGCAUAUUCAUGGAUCAUAAUAAUCACAUUCUGGUUUUUUAUGCAUUUAGUUGGAGUGUAUUGCCUGUGGAAAUUCCUGGUACACCUCAAGGGAUGAGGUAAUAUCCUCUAGCUGUAGAUACUGAACAACCUGCCUAAGGUACAAGGAGUGAGGACGUUGAGAAGAAUUUAACCAGUCCUCCUGAAGCUGAGAAGAAAGCGACAUAAGACUCCUUGAAGACAACCAAUGACUCAAAUGCUGACAACAAUCCUGAAGCCACCAAGAAACCUGAGUGAAGAAAGUUUAUUUAGGGUUUUAGGUAUGAAAUCGGACAAUAUGAAAACUAAUUUAUGAAAAUAAUUGUAAAACUUCGAUUAUGGGGAUAUAUCAGUUGUCAAUGGAUUUUUGUUUCAUUAUGGAUCCUGCAGAAUUUGGAAUAGAAUAACUCUAUUAUUUCUAUUUAUUGUUAUUACUUUGAAGUUAGAUAAAUACCUUUUUUUAUGAUUUUGACAAAUAACCGUUUAAUGUAAGAG
RNA transcript from Brassica rapa (field mustard), 4578 nucleotides. RefSeq lists it as uncharacterized. Lineage: Eukaryota; Viridiplantae; Streptophyta; Magnoliopsida; Brassicales; Brassicaceae. The record is from RefSeq and is a predicted model, not a curated record.